UAAUAUUAACAAUGAUUAUAAAAUAAUACCAAACUUUUGCUUUCUCUUAUUCAUGUGAAGUUCAUAUACAUGACAAUAACAUUUCCUCAACUUCACGCUCUUGAAUUAACAAAUUGAUUAAUUAUUCAUCACCAAUUUCCACACUUCAAAUAAUAAUCUAAAACCGAACUCUGACUUUUCAUAUUAAGGCAUAUAUCAUGUUUUGAGAAAAGACAAUGUACUUAUUAACAAAAGAAAAGAAUUAGAAAAAAAAGAUUGUCAAUACAAUGAACACAAUGUAUUAGAGUGGAAUAACCAAGGCUAUGAAUACAAUGCCUCGUUACGAGCCUCCCUGGAAUAAUAAUAUCAUCAUCACCUAACCAAUGUUCAAAUUAAAACACCAAAGACUAUGAAGGAUUCAGUGCGUCUUAAAGUCACAACAACAAGCAUAAUCCCACAACAGUAUACAUCCCCUUUAUAAAUUUAUAUUAAACUUAGAUUUUAAUAUUAUUGAAAGAACUAAAUCCAAACUUAAAUGUAUAAGUUAAACAUAAACAAUUAGCCAAAAGGAAACAGUGGAGCGUUACCUAAACAACUAUAUGGUCGGAGAUCGUGGGCGGAGAUUUGGGCUGUCGCUCAGAAAUCGCGGUUGUUGGCGACGAUUUAGGGAUAUCGACGGUGAGUGGUUGUUGUUGGAGGAAGGGGGCGUCGCCGACGAUUAAGAAGGUUUGAUGUGAGAGUAGGUGUGAAAAGGAGGAAACGGCGGUUUCACGGUGGGUUUCGCGAUGGUGGUGUAGUGGAUGUCAUUCGUCGGAAAGGAGAAGAGGAGUUGUUGUGACGGCUGGUCCAGGCGGUGGAUUUAUUGGAGAUUUAGAUGGAGCUUCCGGUGAGGGAGGGGUCGCGGAUGGAGGUCGAAGGUAGUUUCCGACGGUGGUGGUUGGAGUUUGGGAUUUCGCGGCGACGAGAUGAAGAGUGAAUGGGUUAUGCGUUGUUGUUAGGUUGGAACGCGGACGGAGGUUUGCCGGCGGUGAGCGGAUCUGUGUUGAUUCCGACGGAAGGAAGGCGGUUGUUUGGCGCUGUGGAGAAGAAUAGGGAACAAUUUCUUUCUCUUUUUAUUUUCCUCCCCUUUCUUCAUGUUCAGAGGGAGAGAUUAUCAUUUUGGAGAGUGAGAGGACUGGUUUUCUUGUGGUCCUCUCUCUUAUUUUCUUUAUCGUUUUCUUUUUUCUAUUUUCUUGAUUUUUUGCUAAGAGAGAGUGAUUAUUGAGGAGUCAGGUCAGUCCCCUAGAGAGAGAAGAGAGGUCGCCUUUUAUUUUGUGGAUUCCCUUUUUUUUUUAUCGUUUUCCUUUCUUUUAGCGGACCGUUGGAGACCCUUAGUGGAGAUAGAUGCGUGCUAGCUGUCACCUUUUUCCAGCGAGCGAGAGAGAGGAUUUGGAAGAAACUUUUUAUUUUAUUUAUUUUCAGAUUUUUUUAAUAAUAAUAUUAAUUAAAUCUCAAAUUUUGAUUGGAUAAAGGGGAUAAGUGUGAAUUGCUAAUUAG
Molecule: long non-coding RNA, 1515 nt
Filed under: Lathyrus oleraceus (garden pea)
Lineage: Eukaryota; Viridiplantae; Streptophyta; Magnoliopsida; Fabales; Fabaceae
Description: Pisum sativum (pea) long non-coding RNA (PSAT_LNC011998)
Source: RNAcentral